UCUCAAAAAUUGUUACAUUUCAG
RNAcentral lists this microRNA (23 nucleotides) under Drosophila melanogaster (fruit fly). RNAcentral's name for it is "dme-miR-1009-3p". Lineage: Eukaryota; Metazoa; Arthropoda; Insecta; Diptera; Drosophilidae. The record is from miRBase by way of RNAcentral.